RNAcentral lists this ribosomal RNA (168 nucleotides) under Pterois radiata (radial firefish). RNAcentral's name for it is "partial small subunit ribosomal RNA". The record is from RNAcentral. Lineage: Eukaryota; Metazoa; Chordata; Actinopteri; Perciformes; Scorpaenidae.
CACCGCGGCUAUACGAGAGGCCCAAGUUGUUAUCUUCCGGCGUAAAGAGUGGUUAUGGGUACUUAAAAUUAAAGCCGCACACCUUCAAAGCUGUUAUACGCACCCGAAGUCUAGAAGCCCAAUUACAAAAGUAGCUUUAUCACCCCAGACCCCACGAAAGCUCUGGCA